Non-coding RNA from Peromyscus maniculatus bairdii (prairie deer mouse), 736 nucleotides. NCBI's taxonomy places the organism in Eukaryota, Metazoa, Chordata, Mammalia, Rodentia, Cricetidae. The record is from RefSeq and is a predicted model, not a curated record.
UCCUCGCCUCUGCGCGUGCGCGAGCGCCUUAAAGGCGCCGUGGUACCGCUUGAGGGUCUUCGAAGGGGCGACCUGCAGAUCGGUGUCGGUAGCCUCGGGCCCUACAUUGCUGGUGUCGCCCCAAGCUAGAGGGCGGUGUGUUCUGCCUGCGUGUCCAGCCCGGGAGGGCCGGAGGGCGUAGUUGUGGAAGCCGGAACAAGACAGCGUUUCGAAAACAGAGACGGAGAGCCCCCUACCCCUGAUCUUCAACCCAAGCUCUUAGUUUCAAGAUGCAAGCCACUGGACAUAGAAAAGCCGUCAUUCCGGGUUGUAAGCGGUGCUCGAGCGCCUCAUGGUGGGAACAAGCGGAACUUCCGAACGCUGGGCGGUACCACUUCCGGGCUGGUUGAGCGAUGGAAAGGAGGCGGGACUAAAAGUGGAGCGGAGAAGGGUGUGGCCUGAUUGACAGACCUGGAACGUGGACCGUGUCAGGGCCGGGCCUCGGCGGAAUGUCCAGCUGGUCCCAGUAACCCUCUUAAGGUGCUGAUCUUGCCUCCCAGAUCUUGGUGCAUGGGGCACACUUGUACUAGCACGUGCGGGCUUCCAACUCAGAAACAUUAAACAAGAGGGAAAAAUCCUAGGUGGUCUGGUGACAAAACCUGAAAUUCCAGCACUAAGGAGGUGGACAGCAGGGGAAUCAUCUACCUGUUCAGGGACAACAGCCUUGACUACGUGGUGAAACCUUAUCUCAAGAAAG